AAGCAACAAACUAUAAUAAAAAUAACAAACCUGUAGACAUAUUUAAAAAAAAAAAUCCUAAAAAUUAGAAAAUCACUUUACAAAAUUACUAAAACUUCAAAAUUAAGAUGAAAUGGAAAAUAUAUCAAAUAGUUAUUAGUAAUAUUAAUAAAAACUAUAACAGUAUCUAAAUUACAUUAAAAUAAAAUAUUCACGUUUUGUGAAAUCUUUUUAUUUAUCAAAUAACCCAUUUAAAAAUAAUUAUGAAUCAAGUAUGUGUUUUAUUUUAAUAUUUGUAUUUUAUUUUAAUUAUACUUUUUUUCAGCAUUUCUAUUGCAAUCUCAUGAACUCCCUGCUGUUGUUUCAUUUUCCGACUGUUCAUAUGACUUCAGAAGACCUACAGGGAAAUAUAGGGUUUGUGUCUUGUGGACCAGUUUUAUGAUCCUUCUCUAUAGUGCUUCUGCAUCCUCUUUGAAGUGUGAGAGCCUCAGCUCCAGUGGAGACUAAUUGCAUGGAGAAGUGCAGUAAAGCUCUUUGAAAAAAAUCAUACAGGUUUGGAGCAUCAUGCGAGUGAGUAAGUGAUGAUACAGUUUUCAUUUUUGCGUAAACUAUUCCUUUUAAAUCCACCUCGGAUCUCACUGACUGUGAAUGAAUUUCACCGUGUGAUUUCAUCAGGGAUGCAGGCCUGCUGCCGUUCUCUCUCUUUUCACUCUCACUGAAGCCCCAGACAGAAGCUCCCUGGAGACUUUCGCUUCUUGUUUAAACCUGACACAAAUUCCAUGUCACAAUGCCCAGAGUGACGGCGCUUGCAGGCACAAAAGCAAAUAUUUCCGUUCCUGGUCAUACCCAACCCCCUCUACACGUCCCCACCGACACCUGAACCCUCCCUUUCCUCACCAGUUCCAGCACUGCAAGCCAGCCAUUUGUCACAAAGCCCUGGCUCUCUCCGACAGCGUCUCUCAUGCCUCCUACAGACUUGCAUCGAAAAGCUCCUUGUAUUAGCAUUGUGAUGAGGAUAUACCGUCGGAUAGCUGCUGAAUUUGAUAAACUCUGAGUGUGGUGCAAUAUAAAGGAAUGAGGCUGUAACUUCCUGAGGGUGUGUAAUCCAACUGACCGUUUUGAUUAUUCCGAGAGAAAGUGCGGGGGU
Cyprinus carpio (common carp) is the source of this 1126-nucleotide long non-coding RNA. The record is from Ensembl. Lineage: Eukaryota; Metazoa; Chordata; Actinopteri; Cypriniformes; Cyprinidae.